UGGAUAUAGGCAGACAUCCGCUAUCCUAAGCUUGUUUGUCCUUUCGGCCACCGCCAUUUUUGAACAGUGUAUGUGAGGUGAGACGCUCCAGGUGUCCCAGCUUCUUCAGCUCUGUGUCCCUCUGACUAAAGGAACCUAGGGACGACGCUGGGACGCCCGGAAAGCCGGGAAAUGGUGUCUGUGACCUUUGAUGAUGUGCGUGUCAAGUUUACCCUGGAAGAGUGGGCUUUGCUGGAUCCUUCACAACGGAAGCUGUACAGGGAUGUGAUGGUAGAAACCUUCAGGAACCUGGCCUCUGUUGAAAAAUCAGAGGAAGAUCAGACCAUUGAUGGCAUGUAUAAAAAUCCCAGAAGAAACCUAAGAAGACAAGUGGUAGGGAGACUCUGUGAUAAUGAAGGUAUUCCAUGUGGAGACAUCUGCAGCCAUACCUCAGAUCACAUUGUGAACCAUAAUACUCCUACAGGAGUGGAACCAAGUGAAGGCUGUGUGUGUAAAGAAGUCUUCAUCAGACAUUCAUCUCUGAGUCUGCCCUUCAGGACUUACAGUGGACAGAAGCCAGAUGAGGAUCAAGAACAUGGAGAAAAGCCAUUUCAAUGUAAGGAUUGCGGGAAAGCCUUUAUUGCUUCCAGAUUCCUUAGAUGGCAUGAAAGAAAUCACACUGGAGAGACACCCUUUGUAUGUAAGAAGCCUGGCAAAGCCUUGGUUUGUUUGAGUGACCUUCACAAACAUGAGCUAACUAACAGUGGAGAAAAACCCAAUGUUUGUAAGCAAUGUGGGAAGGCCUUAUCUUUGAGUGCUGUUGAAAAACAGGAAAGCACACACAGUGGAGAGAAACCCUGUGUAUGCAAGCAAUGUGGAAAAGCCACUUCCCUUAAAAUACAAAAAAGAAAUCACACUGCAGAGAACCAUUAUGCAUGUAAACAGUGUGACAAAGUCUUCUUUUAUUUAAGUCACGUUCAAGAACAUGAAAGAACUCACACUGGAAAGGAUCCCUAUGUAUGGAAACGAUGUGGGAAAGCAUUCUUCUAUAUUUGUGACCUUCAACACCAUGAAGAAAGUCACACCGGAAAGAAACCCUGUGUAUGUAGACAGUGUGGGAAAGUGUUCUAUUCAUCCGGUGUCCUUCAAAGGCAUGAACAAACUCACAGCAGAGAGAAACCAUAUGUAUGUAAACACUGUGGGAAAACAUUCUUCUAUCUUUUUUACCUUCGAAAUCAUGAACGAACUCACAUUGGAGAGAAACCCUACAUAUGUAAACAAUGUGGGAAAACAUACUGUUCCUCCAGUGACCUUCGAAAACAUGAAAGAACUCACACCUGUGAAAAACCCUAUGUAUGCAAGCAAUGUGGAAAAGCCUUUAGUUCUUCCAGUUGCCUCAAAAUACAUGAAGUAAUUCACACUGGAGAGAAGCCCUUUGCAUGUAAGCAAUGUGGAAAAGCCUUCUUUUAUUUGAAUAACCUUCGAAAACAUGAACGCACUCACAGUGGUGAGAAACCCUAUGUGUGUAAACAAUGUGACAAAGCCUUCUAUUAUUUGAGUCACCUUCGAAAGCAUGAACGAACUCACAGUGGAGAAAAACCAUACAUAUGUAAACAGUGUGGGAAAGCUUUCUGUGAUCUUUCUCAUCUUCGGCAUCAUGAACAAACUCACACUGGACAGAGACCCUAUGUAUGUACUCAAUGUGGAAAAGCCUUUAGUUCCUCCAGUUACCUCAAAACGCAUGAAAGAAUUCACACUGGAGAGAAGCCCUUCGCAUGUAAGCACUGUGGAAAAGCUUUUAGUCUUUCCAUGUCCCUUAAAAGACAUGAACGAAAUCACACUGGAGGGAAACCUUAUGCAUGUAAACAAUGUGGGAAAGCCUUCUAUUCUUCCAGUGACCUUCAAAGACAUGAACGAAUUCAUAGGGGUGAGAAACCCUAUUUGUGUAAGCAGUGUGGAAAAGCCUUAAGUUCAUCCAGUUACCUCAAAAUACAUGAAAGAAAUCACACUGGAGUGAAACCUUACGCAUGCAAGCAAUGUGACAAAGCCUACAUUUAUUUGAGUAACCUUCGAAAUCAUGAACAAACUCACAAUGGUGAGAAACUUUAUAUAUGUAAGCAGUGUGGAAAAGCUUUUAGUUGUUCCAGUUACCUCAAAAUACAUGAAGGAAUUCACACUGGAGGGAAGACCUUUACAUGUGAGCACUGUGGAAAAACCUUUAGUUCAUCCAGUGUCUUUAGUAAUACCUACUCAAUGAGAACAGAAAUGCCUCAAGGAAUUAAUGGAUGCCCGGAAACUUUGAAAGUACCACAGGAAAACACAGGAAAUCCCUUGAAGGUAUGGGCACAGGCUACAACUUUUGAAAAGGACUCCAAUAGCUCAGGUAAUAAGAGCAAGAAUUGACAAAUGGGAUUGCAUCUGAUUAAAAAGGGAAAAAAAGCUUGUGGCAUUUCUUGGUUGACUGUGAUUCAGCUGUAAAAAUGAUUGCACACAAAAUAUGUAAUUUCCCUCACCACAGAGAUCCUGGUGACAACCAUUAAUUGGAGAGGAGAGAGGAAAACAGAGAUAGUUCACAUUGAUUUACUCCUGUUGCAUGGCAUGUGUUCACAUGAAGUGAACAGUGUGCUGGAAUCGUCCCAAUCUGAAGGAUUGCUUAUGUGGCAGUUUAAAAUCCAUAUAAAGUGUCUUGGGAUCUUCCUUAUCUACAUUAUAAGUCAAUGUGCAAUGGAAGCGGGAACUCUCAUGGUGUCUAAUUCAAAGAUUUGGAUUCAGCAUCAUUGUCUCAUUUACCUCCUCAAUGUUGGAGUGACACUACUCAGUAACCAAGAGGGAGCAGAGUGUGGAGGUCCUCUUCCUGUUCCAGUGGGCCUAUCCUGUCCUAGGCACUCACCUUCUCUGUAAUUCUGGAAUGUCUCCUGGGACACUGUGUGUGGAAUGUCAUAAGGAUAUUGUGAUCCCAUUUUGAGAAGGAGGAGAAGCACUGAGGAUGGUAAGAAGCAGGUGCCUACUCUGGAGAUCCAGGACAAGUUCUGCUAAAUGAAUUCAUCGUGCAGCUGGCCCAUGUCCCCAGUGUCGGAAGACCGAGCUGGGAAGGACUGUGAGCAAAAUUUGAGAUUUUGGUUCCCCUCAGCCAAGUAGGGGAUGCUUAUCCCAUGCUCAGGCUUUACGUUCAUGUCCUGGAACUUUGUCAAAUCAUGAUCAUUGUUCUUUGGUAAGAAAAUGUCCAAUCAGGAGUGAGCAUUUUUGUGGUUAUUGGCUGAGAAUCACAUGACAUCCUUGUGUCUGUGGUGAGUCGCCUCAGGUGUCCUAGCCUUGGCAGCUCUGUGUUCCCGAGUGCAAGAGCUUAGACACAACGCCACGCUCCUGGGAAGCCAGGAAAUGGAGAGAUUUCAGCUGGUGUCCUGGAGCACCAGUGGCAUAUGCAGCCUCCCAUAUGGCCCCAGUGCAUGGUCCAGGUCUGCUAGGUCCUCCUUCCUCUGGGCCACAGGGUGGAGUUUGUCUAGAGCCAGGACAGGUGUCCAUCCACUUUGUGAUAUGAGCAGCUUCCUUGGCUGCCUGGAGCCCUAUGGGAAGCUUGACUCUGAAUAUCCCCAAAGGCAUGGCACCUGUAGUCACAGGUGGCUCCUGCCUUAUGCGGAACUUGUGCACAGAGGGAGGAUAGGCACUAGGGGUUGGGAUCCCUGAGAAUAUCAUGCUCAGUGCUACACACACACACCAAUUUUCCUGAGUCUUCAGCAUCAGGCAGGGGCCAUUUAAACUUCAUGACCUGUCCCCAGGCCAUGUUUCUGAUCUGGCCAUACACCUGGAGUCCCAGGUCUUCCCCAUGAAGCCCAAUGCCCAGGAAAGAGCAGUCCCUGUGCUCAGUGGCUGGAAAUGGAGGUGAGAGAAUUUCAACAUCACAGUUCCCCACUGUUUCUACAUCUGAUUUUACAAAGGAGAAACUGAUGAAGUGAUAGGAACUCCUAUUUGAAUAGAGUGUGGCAGAAGGAAAGGCCACACUUGAGGACAGAUGCUAUGUCCUCAAGUCCUCUAGGGUGAGGAAGAGGAGUUCUUUGCUUUCCAGGGAGUAGCAAACAGGAAUAGAAAGAAGGUGGGAGGAGGAGGGCAUCAGAUUCUGGACCAGAGGACUUUGAACCCCAAGGUCAGCAUAAAGGACAAGUUGUGAAAUGCCUGAACCUAAAGUAGGACUGGAGGAAGGAGAAAAUUUGGCUGUUUGAUUCUCAAGUCUUGAUUCUUGUCAGGAUUCAAAACUUGGGAAUUAGGAAAGUAUGUAUGUUGUUGUGUUAAAAAAAAAAAAAAAGGUUUGGCUCCCAGAAAUCAAGGCGAGAAGUGCAUUUGAACUUCUUUAAUCACAUGUAAUCAGGUAUAAUUUGUGACAAUUGGGACAGUGAGAGAGAAGAUGCUUUUGGAUCCUUAACAAUGCAAAUGGAGAAAAGGCUUUGUGUAUUUGACCAUUGAUGUGUGCGUGCAGUAUCAUCAACAUGUGUUCUUUGUCCCACUUUCAGGCACAGAGAUCUAGUCAUCUGGAGUUUCUUGGUAAGAGGGGCAUCUAUAGUUAUUUUUUUUCCAGUACUAGAGAUUGAACUCAGGGCCUACAUCUUGAGCCACUCCACCAGCCAUCUUUUUGUGAUGGAUCUUGUGAACUAUUUUCCCACGAUGGCUUCAAGCCAUGAUUGUCCAGAUCUCUGCCUCCUGAGUAGCUAGGAUUACAGGCAUGAGCCACUGGAGCCUGGCUGUAGUCAUUCUUAGUAAAUUCCUAUCAGACCGUAUCUGAAUCUUUACUGAUGAGCAAGAGUGAUGUCUCACCCUCGGUUUACCAUGCGCUUAACCUUCUGAAUGUGCAGUCCUCUGGGAAAUGUGACCAAAUGUAUGGCUUCUUCUCUUUGUUUUCUUUGUCCACGUUUUUUGUGGUACUGGGGCUUGAACUCAGGGAUUACACCUUGAGCCUAUCCACCAGGACUUUUUUGUGAUGGGUUUUUUUGAGAUAGGAUCUUGAGAACUAUUUGCCCAGGCUGGCUUCAAACCUUAAUCCUCCUAAUCUCUGCUUCCUGAGUAGCUGGGAUUACAGGCAUGGAUGGAAGUAGAGAUGAUGUUAACUGGUCACAAAUCUCUGGUGUGUCACCUCUGCAAUCCUAGCUGCUCAGGAGGCAGAGAUCAGGAGAAUCACAGUUUGAAGCCAGACUGGGCAAAGAGUUCGGGAGUC
Castor canadensis (American beaver) is the source of this 5182-nucleotide non-coding RNA. NCBI's taxonomy places the organism in Eukaryota, Metazoa, Chordata, Mammalia, Rodentia, Castoridae. The record is from RefSeq and is a predicted model, not a curated record.